UACAGAGGGUGCGAGCGUUGUCCGGAAUCACUGGGCGUAAAGGGCGCGUAGGCGGCUUGGUAAGGUUGCGGUGAAAGCCCGGGGCUCAACCCCGGGUCGGCCGUGGCAACUGCUGAGCUCGAGCACUGUAGAGGCAGGUGGAAUUCCGGGUGUAGCGGUGGAAUGCGUAGAGAUCCGGAAGAACACCGGUGGCGAAGGCGGCCUGCUGGGCAGUGGCUGACGCUGAUGCGCGACAGCGUGGGGAGCAAACAGG
RNAcentral lists this ribosomal RNA (253 nucleotides) under uncultured bacterium. RNAcentral's name for it is "partial 16S ribosomal RNA". It matches the Rfam family "Bacterial small subunit ribosomal RNA", at positions 524 to 776 of the family's 1533-position model. The record is from RNAcentral.